Molecule: ribosomal RNA, 228 nt
Filed under: uncultured bacterium
Lineage: Bacteria
Description: partial 16S ribosomal RNA
Rfam family: Bacterial small subunit ribosomal RNA
Source: RNAcentral
CGGGUGAGUAAUGUAUGGGGAUCUGCCUGAUGGCGGGGGAUAACUACUGGAAACGGUAGCUAAUACCGCAUAAUGUCUGCGGACCAAAGCGGGGGACCUCCGGGCCCCGCGCCAUCAGAUGAACCCAUAUGGGAUUAGCUUGUAGGUAAGGUAACGGCUUACCUAGGCGACGAUCCCUAGCUGGUCUGAGAGGAUGAUCAGCCACACUGGGACUGAGACACGGCCCAG